AUCCGGUACGAGGACAGUGUCAGGUGGGCAGUUUGACUGGGGCGGUCGCCUCCUAAAGAGUAACGGAGGCGCCCCAAGGUUCCCUCAGAAUGGUUGGAAAUCAUUCGAAGAGUGCAAAGGCAGAAGGGAGCUUGACUGCGAGACCUACAAGUCGAGCAGGGACGAAAGUCGGGCUUAGUGAUCCGGUGGUACCGCAUGGAAGGGCCAUCGCUCAACGGAUAAAAGCUACCCUGGGGAUAACAGGCUUAUCUCCCCCAAGAGUCCACAUCGACGGGGAGGUUUGGCACCUCGAUGUCGGCUCAUCGCAUCCUGGGGCUGAAGUAGGUCCCAAGGGUUGGGCUGUUCGCCCAUUAAAGCGGUACGCGAGCUGGGUUCAGAACGUCGUGAGACAGUUCGGUCCCUAUCUGUCGUGGGCGUAGGAAAUUUGAGAGGAGCUGUCCUUAGUACGAGAGGACCGGGAUGGACGUACCGCUGGUGUACCAGUUGUUCCGCCAGGAGCACCGCUGGGUAGCUAUGUACGGAAGGGAUAAGCGCUGAAAGCAUCUAAGCGUGAAGCCCCCCUCAAGAUGAGAUUUCCCAGUAUGUAAGACCCCUUGAAGACGACGAGGUAGAUAGGUUGGGGGUGGAAGUGCAGUAAUGCAUGGAGCUGACCAAUACUAAUCGGUCGAGGGCUUAUCCUAA
RNAcentral lists this ribosomal RNA (681 nucleotides) under Paenibacillus sp. EKM301P. RNAcentral describes it as "partial 23S ribosomal RNA". It matches the Rfam family "Bacterial large subunit ribosomal RNA", at positions 2238 to 2925 of the family's 2925-position model. Lineage: Bacteria; Bacillati; Bacillota; Bacilli; Caryophanales; Paenibacillaceae. The record is from RNAcentral.